Molecule: ribosomal RNA, 253 nt
Filed under: uncultured bacterium
Lineage: Bacteria
Description: partial 16S ribosomal RNA
Rfam family: Bacterial small subunit ribosomal RNA
Source: RNAcentral
UACGGAGGGUGCGAGCGUUAAUCGGAAUUAUUGGGCGUAAAGGGCGCGUAGGUGGUUAAAUAAGUUAGAUGUAAAAACCCUGGGCUUAACCUAGGACUGAGAGUUAAUACUGUUGAACUAGAGUAUGGGAGAGGGUAGUGGAAUUUCCGGUGUAGCGGUGAAAUGCGUAGAGAUCGGAAGGAACACCAGUGGCGAAGGUGGCUACCUGGCCUAAUACUGACACUGAGGCACGAAAGCGUGGGGAGUAAACAGG